This 1017-nucleotide ribosomal RNA is filed under the name Triticum aestivum (bread wheat). RNAcentral's name for it is "partial small subunit ribosomal RNA". Lineage: Eukaryota; Viridiplantae; Streptophyta; Magnoliopsida; Poales; Poaceae. The record is from RNAcentral.
AUGCGCCAGCUCCACCACGGCUGUCUGGCGUACAGCCCGCCCCCGCCCGCUACUUCAGCCCCACUGCUUCCUUCCCGCGGCCGCGCGCUGCUGCAGCCCCCUGCGCGCUGGGCUGCUGCUCCGUGCUGCUCCAGCUCCGCCGCAUCCCCUCGCGCCCCAGAUCCUUGCCUUGACCCCGAGUGCCCACCUCGCCCUCUCCAUCCUCCAGUGCAACCCCGCACGCGCGCGCCGGACCGGGCUUCCUGUGGCUCUGCUCCAACCCCUCCCGCGGCCUCCUCUCUCGCGUCACCGCGGAACCCUCUCCACGGCUCGUCCGCAGCUCCACCCCAGAGCGCCACCGCGUCAUCCCCCCGACUCCGUGCCCGCACCGCCGUGGCCGAGUCCCACGUGCUCGCGCUGCCGCGCGCCCGCCUGCUGGGUCCGGCUCCGCGCCCCCCUAGUCCAGGUUAUCCCGUGCCGCUGCGCCGUCACCGCCGUCGGCGCCGGGUCCGGCUCCUCCCGCGUCGCUGCGCCGUCUCCGCCGUCAGCGCCGAGUCCGGCACAUCCCACGCAGGCCGGUUUCCGCCUGCCUCCCGGCCUCUUGAGCUCCCUGCCGGGUCGCCGCGCCUCCGGCCGCCUUCCCGUGCCGGCCCGCUGGCCUCCCGAGCCCCUGCCAGCUCGUCGCGCCUGCCGGCUUCGCGCGUGCCUGGCCGCUGGGUUGCAGCGCCCACGCACUCCUCCGCCCGGCUUCAGGUCGCGCCCGGCCUCCGUAGUCGCCGCGCCGGCUCCGCCCGCAUCCCGGCCGCCCGCACGCCGGCUGGCCGGCUCGCUGCUCCGCCUCCGGCCUGCUCCAGCCGGCUCCCGCACGCCGGCUCCGUCUCCGGCCUGUGCAGGCCGACUUCGCCUCCGACCCGGCCGCCUGCCGGCUCCCGCCCCGUGUGUCCGGAGGCCGGCUGCGCCCGUGCGUUCUGUCGCCGGCUGGAGAAAAUAGAAAAAAGAAAGAAAGAGGGGUGGCCGGCUGCUCAAGGGGCCGGCUAA